Long non-coding RNA from Dipodomys ordii (Ord's kangaroo rat), 221 nucleotides. RefSeq lists it as uncharacterized. The transcript is spliced from 4 exons. Lineage: Eukaryota; Metazoa; Chordata; Mammalia; Rodentia; Heteromyidae. The record is from RefSeq and is a predicted model, not a curated record.
CAUGCAUUCCUGCCCUUCUCAAGAGGAUCAAGGAACUGCAUCGGGAAAUAAUUUGCCAUGAAUGAGAUGAAAGUGGCCGUGGCCUUGACCCUGCUCCACUUUGAACUGCUGCCAGAUCCCACCAGGAUCCCCAUCCUCCUACCGUGACUUGUGUUGAAGUCCAAGAAUGGGAUCCACCUGCAUCUUGGGAAACUCUGCUAUUCCUCCUGGGGAAAAGAAGA